UACGAACCGUGCGAACGUUAUUCGGAAUCACUGGGCUUAAAGCGCGUGUAGGCGGAUGGGAACGUCGGUCGUUGAAAUCCCCCGGCUCAACCGGGGAACUGGCACCGAAACGACCCGUCUGGAGGGACGUAGGGGGACCUGGAACUUCCGGUGGAGCGGUGAAAUGCGUUGAGAUCGGAAGGAACGCCCGUGGCGAAAGCGAGGUCCUGGACGUCUACUGACGCUGAGACGCGAAAGCUAGGGUAGCGAACGGG
RNAcentral lists this ribosomal RNA (254 nucleotides) under uncultured bacterium. RNAcentral's name for it is "partial 16S ribosomal RNA". It matches the Rfam family "Bacterial small subunit ribosomal RNA", at positions 524 to 776 of the family's 1533-position model. The record is from RNAcentral.